UGGGGAAUUUUGGACAAUGGGCGAAAGCCUGAUCCAGCAAUGCCGCGUGUGUGAAGAAGGCCUUCGGGUUGUAAAGCACUUUUGUCCGGAAAGAAAUCCUUGGCUCUAAUACAGUCGGGGGAUGACGGUACCGGAAGAAUAAGCACCGGCUAACUACGUGCCAGCAGCCGCGGUAAUACGUAGGGUGCAAGCGUUAAUCGGAAUUACUGGGCGUAAAGCGUGCGCAGGCGGUUUGCUAAGACCGAUGUGAAAUCCCCGGGCUCAACCUGGGAACUGCAUUGGUGACUGGCAGGCUAGAGUAUGGCAGAGGGGGGUAGAAUUCCACGUGUAGCAGUGAAAUGCGUAGAGAUGUGGAGGAAUACCGAUGGCGAAGGCAGCCCCCUGGGCCAAUACUGACGCUCAUGCACGAAAAGCGUGGGGAGCAAAACAGGAUUAGAUACCCCUGGUAGUCCACGCCCUAAAACGAUGUCAACUAGUUGUUGGGGAUUCAUUUCCUUAGUAACGUAGCUAACGCGUGAAGUUGACCGCCUGGGGAGUACGGUCGCAAGAUUAAAACUCAAAUGAAUUGACGGGGUCAUAGCUGUUUCCU
Molecule: ribosomal RNA, 589 nt
Filed under: uncultured bacterium
Lineage: Bacteria
Description: partial 16S ribosomal RNA
Rfam family: Bacterial small subunit ribosomal RNA
Source: RNAcentral